Long non-coding RNA from Athene cunicularia (burrowing owl), 162 nucleotides. RefSeq lists it as uncharacterized. The transcript is spliced from 2 exons. The record is from RefSeq and is a predicted model, not a curated record. NCBI's taxonomy places the organism in Eukaryota, Metazoa, Chordata, Aves, Strigiformes, Strigidae.
UUACUGUUAUUCUUUGCUUAUGGAAACAGAAAGAGAGAAAUCAAAACGGGAGGUGAGGCAGUCAUCACAGACAUCUCCAUGCAGUCGGUCACGGGAGAGAAGAGCACAGUGCAGGUCUUCCAGUGAGGACAAUACGUGUUCUCUUAUUCAAGGAUCCUAGGG